Molecule: ribosomal RNA, 497 nt
Filed under: uncultured bacterium
Lineage: Bacteria
Description: partial 16S ribosomal RNA
Rfam family: Bacterial small subunit ribosomal RNA
Source: RNAcentral
GAUGAACGCUGGCGGCGUGCCUAAUACAUGCAAGUCGAGCGAUCAGACGAGGUGCUUGUACCUAUGACGUUAGCGGCGGACGGGUGAGUAACACGUGGAUAAUCUACCUUUAAGACGGGGACAACUUCGGGAAACGGGUGCUAAUACCGCAUAAUAACUUUAAACACAUGGUUCAAGUGUGAAAGACGCUUUUGCUGCACUUUAUAAUUAUCCCCGCGUCGAAUUAGCUAGUUGGUAAGGUAACGGCUUACCAAGCCAACGUUCCUAAGCCGACCGGGAGGGGUGAUCGGCCACACGGGAACUGAGACACGCCCCAGACCCCAACGGGAGGCAGCGUUAGGGAAUCUUCCGCAAUGAGCGAAAGCCUGACGGAGCAACGCCGCGGGGUGGAGGAAGGUCUUCGGAUCUUAAAACUCUGUUAUUGAGGAAGAAGAAAUGUGUAAGUGACUAUGCACGACGUGACGGUACCUAAUCAGAAAGGCACGGCUAACUACGUG